This 458-nucleotide ribosomal RNA is filed under the name Streptococcus infantis. RNAcentral's name for it is "bacterial SSU rRNA". It matches the Rfam family "Bacterial small subunit ribosomal RNA", at positions 28 to 470 of the family's 1533-position model. Lineage: Bacteria; Bacillati; Bacillota; Bacilli; Lactobacillales; Streptococcaceae. The record is from RNAcentral.
GACGAACGCUGGCGGCGUGCCUAAUACAUGCAAGUAGAACGCUGAAGGAAGGAGCUUGCUCUUUCCGGAUGAGUUGCGAACGGGUGAGUAACGCGUAGGUAACCUGCCUGGUAGCGGGGGAUAACUAUUGGAAACGAUAGCUAAUACCGCGUAACAGUAGAUAUCGCAUGAUAGCUGCUUGAAAGGUGCAAAUGCACCACUACCAGAUGGACCUGCGUUGUAUUAGCUAGUUGGUGAGGUAACGGCUCACCAAGGCAACGAUACAUAGCCGACCUGAGAGGGUGAUCGGCCACACUGGGACUGAGACACGGCCCGGACUCCUACGGGAGGCAGCAGUAGGGAAUCUUCGGCAAUGGACGGAAGUCUGACCGAGCAACGCCGCGUGAGUGAAGAAGGUUUUCGGAUCGUAAAGCUCUGUUGUAAGAGAAGAACGAGUGUGAGAGUGGAAAGUUCACACU